CGACAUUAUGUCGGUGUGAGAACAAAGUCGCAUUACGAUGAUGAAAAUCACAUUAUUUGAUUAAAGAUCUGCACAAACAGGAAGAAUUAUAUCCUAAAGUUCCCCGACGAGAUGUUUUACUGCUGUUACGACAUUUGUUGAUAAAUAUUCCGACUUUUCCUCCACUUCGAUGCGAUCGGCCACAGAAGCCUUGUAUAAAAGGACCAUUGAAUCGCCUGUCUGCGUUACCACAGACGCCGCGUCACACUGGGAGAAAUAUAACAGAUCUCAAAGCUACUACGUUCUUUCAUUCCAUCACAAGACUUUACAGCAUGGUUGCUGAACAGCCUUGUGAAGUUCACAGUCAGUCUUCACAUCUUGGAAUCGGUCUCCUUGACAACGGCAAAUUACUCGGAGAUCCACCUCCUGAUGCGGGAAAUAUAAGUCAACCCGUGCUCGAAACUUGCAUGGACGUGAACAACUACCCCAUUACAGCUAUUCCCUUUGAUCAACUGGCCAUGUACUCUUCCCACCAAGAAGUUCCCAUCUCCACCACUGACAAUGACUAUCCAAUUGUGUCUAUAGCUUGCGUAACAGGACAGAACAACAUAAGCGAAGAAGGUGAUAAUUCUGUGUUCAGUGGAGACAUAAUUUGUGAAUAUAAUUCAGGGAACACUUUCUCAGCACCCACUAGUGAACUUCGGUCAGACUCUGUGUCGUCAUGCAGCGAUACCUACAGUAAUAGCGACUAUACGGACUCGUUGUGUAGCACGGACAGCACCAAAUUCCUGCUGCCACCAAAGUAUGAGGUGAACGAAACCAGUGAACACAUAUCCCCAAGCCAUGAGCAGUCGACGUCAGAUCAAACAAUGUCAUUGUUAGGCGUAACAGAGAUUUUGGAAAGCGAAGCUGUGAUAGAUAUGCCUGAAUGUUUCGAGAACAAAAAUUACACAAACACUGUAUCGUCUCAAACCUCCAGUAACCAGCCACUGCUAGACAGAACUGAGAGCAUGUGGAGCUUCGCAAAAGAAGUGGAUGCACCAAUCAUUGGACGUAUUGAACAUCCCGGUUACUUCUCCUCUCAGCGAGACCUUUCCAGUACCAGUAAUCUUAGCUUCGCGUGUCAAAAGGCUCUUCAGUACCUCCAGGACGAGCGAGUGGCGAGUUCCCUCCUUCUGCCAGGAAGUUACAAGGACGUGUCAAAGUUGCCUCCAAGUGGUAAGAAGGAUCUUGAUGACGUCGUCGACCACAACAUCGUACCCAGCGGUCGCCACACGCGCAAUCUCCUCGCUCUUAGUGUGUGCAACACUAUGGUGUUUAUUGCUUGCGGUUCCCUGAGGAACCUACAGAGCAGCAUCAACCAUGAAGGCGGCGUUGGAAUCACGUCUCUCGCUGUCAACUGCUUAGGAUUCAUGCUUGGAAGCAUUUUCAGCCCGUUCAUUGUGCAGAACUUUGAUCCGUACAAAUCCCUCCUGGCGUCUCUCUUCCCCCACGUCUUGUAUAUUGCUGCUAACUUCUACCCAGUCAUGUGGCUGAUGUGCCCUGUCUCAUUCUUGCAAGGAAUCAGCACCGCCAUCAUGUGGAACGCGAUGAGCACGUACGUUACAUUCCUGGCAAAGGGCUACUCGGAGAAAAGGAAAGAGGAUUAUGAGGGUGUUCUCAAUCGAUUCUUCGGCAUAUUUUGUUUGUUGUUCCAAGUAUACAUGGUCUUCGGCAACCUCAUCGCAUCUCUUGUCCUCACAUAUGCAAACCCAGCUGAUGUUUCCAAUGUGACAACAUCAAACGAAAGUGUUCUCACUCCUACACUGAACCUAUCAGAGUACAUGUACUCUAUAUCCAGUGACCCUUUGCUGAACUCCACAACACUCAGUGAUAUCAACACCCCCAACGUCUCAAUAUGCGGAGCCAACUACUGCCACCACUACACCAUCAGCAACUCCGGAACUACAGUCAGCGACUUCGCCAAAUACCUGCUUUUCGGUAUCUACCUGGGAUGCAUGGUUUUAGCCCUCCUCAUCGUGCUCUUCCUUCUGGAGCCCCUCAACAGUCGCCUCUUUUCCUCCGUCAUGACAUGCGGCAUGAUUAAAACACAGAUGGUCUCCCUUGGAAAGUUCAUCGUGAACCGGAAGUUUAUGCUCCUCUGUCCACUCCUGCUCUUCGGCGCCAUGGAACAAGGAUUCGCUACUGCUGAGAUUACAAAGGCCUUCGUGACGUGUCCCAUCGGCGUCCACAUGGUCGGCUACAUGAUGAUCUGCAUGGGCGUGUCGGCGAGUAUCAGCGCCUACCUCAGCGGAUGGUUGUGCAGAUACGUCGGAAGAAUUGUGCUGAUCGCAAUAGUACCAUGAGUUUUAACUUUGGUUAUACAUCACAAGUGGCAGACCAAAGACGCCACCAUAGUAAGAAUGCAGUCUCCCAAGACUUCGACUUGCCAGCUAGGCAAAUAGUCAGUUCCAUCCAGCAUUGUUGAUCUGAUAUGACGUUAUAGAAAGCUACCCAUACGAUGACAUUGCUGACCAAAGACCAUAGACGUCUUUCUGAGGGGAUGACAUUCCGAUGUAACGGUGUUGGUGAUUGCCGUUGUGUGUAACCUUGGUCUUCUGACGUUCAUGUCACUAUGGUCGCCAACACCCGACUCUCUCAUCAUACUGUUUGUCCUGUUUGGCUUCUGGGGCUUCGCAGACGGCAUCUGGUUGGCUCAGAGCCAGA
This 2685-nucleotide unclassified non-coding RNA is filed under the name Haliotis rufescens (red abalone). Its description in RNAcentral is "protein unc-93 homolog A-like, transcript variant X1". The record is from RNAcentral. Lineage: Eukaryota; Metazoa; Mollusca; Gastropoda; Lepetellida; Haliotidae.